This 21-nucleotide non-coding RNA is filed under the name Caenorhabditis elegans. The record is from RNAcentral. Lineage: Eukaryota; Metazoa; Nematoda; Chromadorea; Rhabditida; Rhabditidae.
UACCAGUUGUUUCUCUGGGGA